GCCGCCAUGCGCAGAAUGGUAAUGCACCUGGUUUGAGCCCAGGGUCCUUCGGACACCCAGGUUCGAUUCCUGGUGGCGGCG
Molecule: transfer RNA, 81 nt
Filed under: Candidatus Pacearchaeota archaeon
Lineage: Archaea; Nanobdellati
Description: tRNA-Ser
Rfam family: tRNA
About the family: Transfer RNA (tRNA) molecules are approximately 80 nucleotides in length.
Source: RNAcentral